UACGUAGGGAGCAAGCGUUGUCCGGAAUUAUUGGGCGUAAAGAGCUCGUAGGCGGUCUGUCACGUCGGCUGUGAAAUCCCGAGGCUCAACCUCGGGUCUGCAGUCGAUACGGGCAAACUAGAGUAUUGCAGGGGAGACUGGAAUUCCUGGUGUAGCGGUGAAAUGCGCAGAUAUCAGGAGGAACACCGGUGGCGAAGGCGGGUCUCUGGGCAAUAACUGACGCUGAGGAGCGAAAGCGUGGGGAGCGAACAGG
RNAcentral lists this ribosomal RNA (253 nucleotides) under uncultured bacterium. RNAcentral's name for it is "partial 16S ribosomal RNA". It matches the Rfam family "Bacterial small subunit ribosomal RNA", at positions 524 to 776 of the family's 1533-position model. The record is from RNAcentral.